AGUUGAUGCCAUAACAGCAACAAAUAAGGAUGUUUCUUAUCUGCAUGCAAAAAACAAAACCAACAAAUAGAAAGAAAGGGAAGGUCUGUUGUUUGUGAACACGAUGAGGAUUCAAUUUUUGAAGGGGAGAAUCAACUAGGGUUU
Molecule: long non-coding RNA, 144 nt
Organism: Hibiscus syriacus
Lineage: Eukaryota; Viridiplantae; Streptophyta; Magnoliopsida; Malvales; Malvaceae
Exons: 3
Source: RefSeq, a predicted model, not a curated record